RNAcentral lists this ribosomal RNA (460 nucleotides) under uncultured bacterium. RNAcentral describes it as "partial 16S ribosomal RNA". It matches the Rfam family "Bacterial small subunit ribosomal RNA", at positions 338 to 795 of the family's 1533-position model. The record is from RNAcentral.
CCUACGGGGGGCAGCAGUGAGGAAUAUUGGUCAAUGGGCUUACGCCUGAACCAGCCAAGUCGCGUGAGGGAAGACUGCCCUAUGGGUUGUAAACCUCUUUUGUCAGGGAGCAAUUGGCGCUACGUGUAGCGUUAUCGAUAGUACCUGAAGAAAAAGCAUCGGCUAACUCCGUGCCAGCAGCCGCGGUAAUACGGAGGAUGCGAGCGUUAUCCGGAUUUAUUGGGUUUAAAGGGUGCGUAGGCGGAAUGCCAAGUCAGCGGGAAAAUCGCGGGGCUCAACCUCGCUCCGCCGUUGAAACUGGCGUUCUUGAGUGGGCGAGAGGUAGGCGGAAUGCGUGGUGUAGCGGUGAAAUGCAUAGAUAUCACGCAGAACUCCGAUUGCGAAGGCAGCAUACCGGCGCCCAACUGACGCUGAAGCACGAAAGCGUGGGUAUCGAACAGGAUUAGAUACCCUUGUAGUC